Molecule: small nuclear RNA, 103 nt
Organism: Budorcas taxicolor (takin)
Lineage: Eukaryota; Metazoa; Chordata; Mammalia; Artiodactyla; Bovidae
Source: RefSeq, a predicted model, not a curated record
GCUCGCUUCGGCAGCACAUACUAAAAUUGGAACAAUACAGAGAAGAUUAGCAUGGUUUCUGCACAAGGAUGACAUGCAAAUUCAUGAAGCGUUCCGUAUUUUU